Molecule: ribosomal RNA, 301 nt
Filed under: uncultured bacterium
Lineage: Bacteria
Description: partial 16S ribosomal RNA
Rfam family: Bacterial small subunit ribosomal RNA
Source: RNAcentral
CAGUCGCCGCGGGAAUACGGAGGGUGCAAGCGUUAAUCGGAAUUACUGGGCGUAAAGCGCACGCAGGCGGUUUGUUAAGUCAGAUGUGAAAUCCCCGAGCUUAACUUGGGAACUGCAUUUGAAACUGGCAAGCUAGAGUCUUGUAGAGGGGGGUAGAAUUCCAGGUGUAGCGGUGAAAUGCGUAGAGAUCUGGAGGAAUACCGGUGGCGAAGGCGGCCCCCUGGACAAAGACUGACGCUCAGGUGCGAAAGCGUGGGGAGCAAACAGGACUAGAUACCCCUGUAGUCCCUGUCUCUUAUAC